Molecule: ribosomal RNA, 377 nt
Filed under: Strombidinopsis sp.
Lineage: Eukaryota; Ciliophora; Spirotrichea; Choreotrichida; Strombidinopsidae
Description: SSU rRNA
Rfam family: Eukaryotic small subunit ribosomal RNA
Source: RNAcentral
AGCUCCAAUAGCGUAUAUUAAAGUUGUUGCAGUUAAAAAGCUCGUAGUUUGAUUUCUGGACGGGCGCUAACACCCGCUUGCUAGUGAGGAGGCGGCGCCCGCCCAUCCUUCUGUUAACGCCAUCGGCAUUCAUUUGCUGGCGGCGGGCUCAGAUAUUUUACCUUGAGAAAAUUAGAGUGUUUCAGGCAGGCUUGCGCCUAGAUACAUUAGCAUGGAAUAAUAGAAUAGGACUUUGGCCUCUUCUGUUGGUCUGAGGGGUUAGAGUAAUGAUUAAUAGGGAUAGUUGGGGGCAUUAGUACUUAACUGCUAGAGGUGAAAUUCUCAGAUUUGUUAAAGACUAACUUAUGCGAAAGCAUUUGCCAAGGAUGUUUUCAUUA